CCCGGACACACCCCGGUCAGUGACGUCACGUUGGCGUAGCUAGUUGAUGAGAAACACCUGUUGUAAAACUAUUCCAUAUACAAACUUAAACAUACAA
This is a long non-coding RNA of Sander lucioperca (pikeperch), 97 nucleotides long. RefSeq lists it as uncharacterized. Lineage: Eukaryota; Metazoa; Chordata; Actinopteri; Perciformes; Percidae. The record is from RefSeq and is a predicted model, not a curated record. The transcript has 3 exons.